GCGCAGAUGGCGGAAUUGGUAGACGCGUUAGGUUUAGGUUCUAGUGAAUUUAUUCGUGCAGGUUCAAGUCCUGUUCUGCGUA
This is a transfer RNA of Monoraphidium neglectum, 82 nucleotides long. It matches the Rfam family "tRNA". From Rfam's summary of the family: Transfer RNA (tRNA) molecules are approximately 80 nucleotides in length. Their secondary structure includes four short double-helical elements and three loops (D, anti-codon, and T loops). Lineage: Eukaryota; Viridiplantae; Chlorophyta; Chlorophyceae; Sphaeropleales; Selenastraceae. The record is from Rfam.